CAAUAGUGUAUAUUAAAGUUGUUGCAGUUAAAAAGCUCGUAGUUGAAUUUCUGUCAGGAGUGACCGGGCCUUUGGAUGAACUUCCAUUGUUUUUUGCUCUGUUUGUCAUCUCUAGACAUCCUGAAAUAUUUUUUAAAAAUAUUUCUCUUUUACUGUUAGCAAAAUAGAGUGUUCCAAGCAAAGCGUAGUUUUGAAUACAUUAGAAUGGAAUAAUAAGAUAGGACUUUGGUGCUAUUUUGUUGGUUUGCACACCAAGGUAAUGAUUAAUAGGGACAGUUGGGGGUAUUCGUAUUUAAUUGUCAGAGGUGAAAUUCUUGGAUUUAUGAAAGACGAACUACUGCGAAAGCAUUUACCAAGGAUGUUUUCAUUAA
This 371-nucleotide ribosomal RNA is filed under the name uncultured eukaryote. Its description in RNAcentral is "partial 18S ribosomal RNA". It matches the Rfam family "Eukaryotic small subunit ribosomal RNA", at positions 592 to 976 of the family's 1831-position model. The record is from RNAcentral.